Molecule: microRNA, 23 nt
Filed under: Strongyloides ratti
Lineage: Eukaryota; Metazoa; Nematoda; Chromadorea; Rhabditida; Strongyloididae
Description: str-miR-8370-3p
Source: miRBase by way of RNAcentral
UAAGGCACAACGUUGGCAUCUCU